Molecule: long non-coding RNA, 833 nt
Organism: Cyprinus carpio (common carp)
Lineage: Eukaryota; Metazoa; Chordata; Actinopteri; Cypriniformes; Cyprinidae
Source: Ensembl
CGCGAUUCAGUUUGAAUCAUUCGAGCAUUUGCACUCACGCGUUGGAUUGUUUGGAGCUGUUUGUCAUAGCAAAACACAAUCGGUAUAUUAUUGAGCACAGAUGAGAAAAGAUUAAGUGAUAGAAGAAAUGGAUGUCUACAAACGAUUGGAAUAAACGUCGUAUUUGCCACCGACCGAUGAAGAAACGUGCUGCUUGCGAACGACAGAAAAGAAACCCAGCAGUAUGUGUUUGGAACGUCAUGACAUCCCGUCUGAUCGACUGUGGUGGUCCUCUGCUCUGCCCUGGUGGGCAUCUGUUUCAUCUGCUCGGCUGUGGUGGUCCUCUGCUCCGCCCUGGUGGGCAUCUGUCUCGCCUGCUUGGCUGUGGUGGUCCUCUGCUCCCCCCUGGUGGGCAUCUGUCUCGCCUGCUCGGCUGUGGUGGUCCUCUGCUCCCCCCUGGUGGGCAUCUGUCUCGUCUUCUCGGUUGUGGUGGUCCUCUGCUCAGCCCCGGUGGGUUCCAGUUCUGCCCGCGCCGCCCCGGUGGGCUCCAGUUCCGCCUGCGCCACCCCGGGGGCGGGGGGGGUGGGGCUCCAGUUCUGCCUGCGCCACCCCGGUGGGCUCCAGUUCCGCCUGCGCCGCCCCGGUGGGCUCCAGUAUCGCCUCCGCCACCCGGUGGGCCCCAGUUCCGCCUGCUCCGCCCCGGUGGGCUCCAGUUCCACCUGCUCCACCCUGGCUUCCUGCUCUGUUGGCACUGCCUCGGUCCCCGGCCAAUCCACUUCCACCUCCGCUCCACCUCCCACCUGAACUCUGGUCUACUCUCAGUUAGGAGUGUCUGGAAGCCACUCCUUAGUUGA